CUCGUUGAUGAUCGGUGCUUGCACCGAGAUUCAACAUGGAACGAGUGGCGGACGGGUGAGUAACACGUGGGUAACCUGCCCUUAAGUGGGGGAUAACAUUUGGAAACAGAUGCUAAUACCGCAUAGAUCCAAGAACCGCAUGGUUCUUGGCUGAAAGAUGGCGUAAGCUAUCGCUUUUGGAUGGACCCGCGGCGUAUUAGCUAGUUGGUGAGGUAACGGCUCACCAAGGCGAUGAUACGUAGCCGAACUGAGAGGUUGAUCGGCCACAUUGGGACUGAGACACGGCCCAAACUCCUACGGGAGGCAGCAGUAGGGAAUCUUCCACAAUGGACGCAAGUCUGAUGGAGCAACGCCGCGUGAGUGAAGAAGGCUUUCGGGUCGUAAAACUCUGUUGUUGGAGAAGAAUGGUCGGCAGAGUAACUGUUGUCGGCGUGACGGUAUCCAACCAGAAAGCCACGGCUAACUACGUGCCAGCAGCCGCGGUAAUACGUAGGUGGCAAGCGUUAUCCGGAUUUAUUGGGCGUAAAGCGAGCGCAGGCGGUUUUUUAAGUCUGAUGUGAAAGCCCUCGGCUUAACCGAGGAAGCGCAUCGGAAACUGGGAAACUUGAGUGCAGAAGAGGACAGUGGAACUCCAUGUGUAGCGGUGAAAUGCGUAGAUAUAUGGAAGAACACCAGUGGCGAAGGCGGCUGUCUGGUCUGUAACUGACGCUGAGGCUCGAAA
Molecule: ribosomal RNA, 721 nt
Filed under: Lactobacillus casei group sp.
Lineage: Bacteria; Bacillati; Bacillota; Bacilli; Lactobacillales; Lactobacillaceae
Description: bacterial SSU rRNA
Rfam family: Bacterial small subunit ribosomal RNA
Source: RNAcentral